This 210-nucleotide long non-coding RNA is filed under the name Elaeis guineensis (African oil palm). RNAcentral describes it as "long non-coding RNA (EGUI_LNC053917)". Lineage: Eukaryota; Viridiplantae; Streptophyta; Magnoliopsida; Arecales; Arecaceae. The record is from RNAcentral.
GUUGGUGACGGGGCCCGGCUCCCGUAGGAAUCCGGGCGGAGUCUUCCUUACGGUUGAAGUUGUGGAUGGAGCCCGGCUCCCAUAGGAGUCCGGGCAGAGUCUUCCUGCAAUUAAAGUCAGGUGCGAAGUCUGGCUCCCGUAGGAGUUCGGACGGAGCUUACCAGCAGUUGAAGUUGGUGACGGAGCCCGGCUCCUGUAGGAGUCUGGGCA